Molecule: ribosomal RNA, 494 nt
Filed under: uncultured bacterium
Lineage: Bacteria
Description: partial 16S ribosomal RNA
Rfam family: Bacterial small subunit ribosomal RNA
Source: RNAcentral
GACGAACGCUGGCGGCGUGCCUAAUACAUGCAAGUAGAACGCUGAAGGAGGAGCUUGCUUCUCUGGAUGAGUUGCGAACGGGUGAGUAACGCGUAGGUAACCUGCCUGGUAGCGGGGGAUAACUAUUGGAAACGAUAGCUAAUACCGCAUAAUAGUAGAUGUUGCAUGACAUUUGCUUAAAAGGUGCAAUUGCAUCACUACCAGAUGGACCUGCGUUGUAUUAGCUAGUUGGUGGGGUAACGGCUCACCAAGGCGACGAUACAUAGCCGACCUGAGAGGGUGAUCGGCCACACUGGGACUGAGACACGGCCCAGACUCCUACGGGAGGCAGCAGUAGGGAAUCUUCGGCAAUGGACGGAAGUCUGACCGAGCAACGCCGCGUGAGUGAAGAAGGUUUUCCGAUCGUAAAGCUCUGUUGUAAGAGAAGAACGAGUGUGAGAGUGGAAAGUUCACACUGUGACGAUAUCUUACCAGAAAGGGACGGCUAACUACGU